RNAcentral lists this long non-coding RNA (397 nucleotides) under Capra hircus (goat). RNAcentral's name for it is "lncRNA (ENSCHIG00000005618.1)". The record is from RNAcentral. Lineage: Eukaryota; Metazoa; Chordata; Mammalia; Artiodactyla; Bovidae.
CCACAGUCCAUGAGGUCACAAAGAGUCAGACAUGACUGAAGCGACCUAGCAUGCACUCACACCGUAACUAAAGGUAGAAAACCUGGAUGAUGGGCAGACAUAAGUGACCUUUCAUUUUUCUCUUGCAAUGGUAGGCGACGCUCUCAGCUCUACAUCCUCAGAACUCAAGUCGCCUGUAAUCUUCAGUUGCUACCUUUUGUGAUUUGCAGGUCUUCCAUCCCGUACAUGUUCCCGUCCUCCACAUUCAGAAAUGAGAUGUUGGUGGACUCCCAGAGAAAGUUCAGUUUCCCACAGAUGACUCAGAGUUGGGUUUUAUGCAGCAGCAGGUCCCGUAAAGGACCCAUGUGGAUAUUUUGGUGUUCUCGGCUGAAGGAUGCUUUAGAAGCGUAAAGCCACC